GUAUCUUAUCUUCUUCUUCUCCUUCUUUUCUUUUCCUACUUCUUUCUUCUUCUUCAGUUCGAUUCCGAGUGAUGAAAUUGCGAGUUAAUUUGAUUGAAUAAACUAUUGAAGCUCGUAGAUGAAACUAGAGCUGUUAUCUGUGAAUUAUGAAGGAUAUUUUGCUGCUGCGAAUCAUGAAAAAUUAGAAAAAUGGGAAUAAAUGUUGAUACUGUGAAUUGAUGUGGGUUUGCUGCCGAGAUUUAAAGCUGAAGAUGAUAAGUGCUCGUUUAUGAUUCGAGAGCCUUAGGAGAGACUGAGAAGAUGGAACAAGUAGUGCUGAGAGAUGGGUUUGAUGUUCUGCAACAGAAGCUACAAAAGGGUUUGAUUCAACAAGAGAGAAGGAAUGAUUGGUUAUAUUGGUGCCUGGCUGUGUUGGUGGAACUGUUGAAGGUGGUUGUGCUACUGCAGUGGUGAAAUUGAAGUUGUAAUGGUGUCAAUGGAUAUGUGUUGCAGGACAGAGUUAGCAAGGAAAAUUAAGUUGGUUUUGCUGCCUUUAUGGUAAUGAUGAAUUAUAGAUGCUGGUGAAUCAGGGACCGAGUCCGAAGAACAAAGAAAAAAAGAAGACCAAUAUUGGAAGGGAUGAUUGAGAGAUUGAGCUAGAAGAUGUCACAAUGAUAAUGGGUUUACAUCAACAUGGUCCGUGGUUAUAGAGAUGAUGUUGCGAAUAUAUGGGAGAUGGACGCUGUAGUGAUUUGGGUAUGGCUGUAGUCGUGUCGUGACCGUUCGAUGUUCUCAGGAUAAUUAAAUAAGAGAUGUUGUGUUAAACAAUUUUAUUUUUGGGGGCCUGGUAGUGAAUACAAAAUAACUUAAGGGGUGUAAAAAAAUAAACAAGUCAAUAGUUAGACACAUCAUCGUGUAACCGAGUCAACACGGGUCAACGUUGGUCUUUAGACCAAACGCAAAGCCUGGACAAAUGUUAGAUUAAACCCAGGUUUUGGUCAAAAAGUAAGUACCAAAUAACCCAAAUAUUUGUAAUUUUGGUUGUUAUUUGUCUCAUAUAGAACCGAAAAAUAUUGACGAAGCUCUUAAUGAUUCCUCUUGGGUGAAUGCAA
This is a long non-coding RNA of Papaver somniferum (opium poppy), 1091 nucleotides long. RefSeq lists it as uncharacterized. The transcript has 2 exons. NCBI's taxonomy places the organism in Eukaryota, Viridiplantae, Streptophyta, Magnoliopsida, Ranunculales, Papaveraceae. The record is from RefSeq and is a predicted model, not a curated record.